UAGCUUUAAGUUUUUAUUUAAAGUUUUACCUGCCCGGUGAAUAUUUUAACGGCCGCAGUACUUUGACUGUGCUAAGGUAGCAUAAUAAAUUGGCUUUUAAUUAGAGUCGGGUAUGAAAGGGGCUUCGUAGAGUAACUGUCUCAAAAAUGUUUUAUUUUAAAUUAUUUAAUGAGUGAAAAUACUCAUAGAUUUUUUUAUUAGACGAGAAGACCCUUAGAGUUAUAAUUAAAAUGAUUUUUUUUUCAUAUUUCAUUUUUGUUGGGGCAACAAAGACUGGAUGUAACCGUCAAAAAAUUAUUUUACAUAACCAAUGUAUUUAAAAAGAAAUAAACUACCUUAGGGAUAACAGCAUAAUUAAUUUUUAGAUUGUGACCUCGAUGUUGGAUUAAGGACUUUGUUUACUAGCCGUAAAUAAAGAUGGUUCUGUUCGAACUGUGAUACCUU
RNAcentral lists this ribosomal RNA (444 nucleotides) under Vertigo pimuensis. RNAcentral describes it as "Vertigo sp. n. pim JCN-2017 partial 16S ribosomal RNA". It matches the Rfam family "Archaeal large subunit ribosomal RNA", at positions 1919 to 2665 of the family's 2987-position model. The record is from RNAcentral. Lineage: Eukaryota; Metazoa; Mollusca; Gastropoda; Stylommatophora; Vertiginidae.